Oncorhynchus keta (chum salmon) is the source of this 691-nucleotide long non-coding RNA. RefSeq lists it as uncharacterized. The transcript is spliced from 4 exons. The record is from RefSeq and is a predicted model, not a curated record. NCBI's taxonomy places the organism in Eukaryota, Metazoa, Chordata, Actinopteri, Salmoniformes, Salmonidae.
AGGAGGUGUCCACAUGGUCUGAUUAACACUCCUAACAACCCCACCACUAGGAGGUGUCCACAUGGUCUGAUAAACACUCCUAACAACCAGACCACUAGGAGGUGUCCACAUGGUCUGAUAAACACUCCUAACAACCCCACCACUAGGAGGUGUCCACAUGGUCUGAUAAACACUCCUAACAACCCCACCACUAGGAGGUGUCCACAUGGUCUGAUAAACACUCCUAACAACCAGACCACUAGGAGGUGUCCACAUGGUCUGAUAAACACUCCUAACAACCCCACCACUAGGAGGUGUCCACAUGGUCUGAUUAACACUCCUAACAACCCCACCACUAGGAGGUGUCCACAUGGUCUGAUAAACACUCCUAACAACCAGACCACUAGGAGGUGUCCACAUGGUCUGAUAAACACUCCUAACAACCCCACCACUAGGAGGUGUCCACAUGGUCUGAUAAACACUCCUAACAACCCCACCACUAGGAGGUGUCCACAUGGUCUGAUAAACACUCCUACAACCCCACCACUAGGAGGUGUCCACAUGGUCUGAUAAACACUCCUACAACCCCACCACUAGGAGGUGUCCACAUGGUCUGAUAAACACUCCUAACAACCAGACCACUAGGAGGUGUCCACAUGGUCUGAUAAACACUCCUAACAACCCCACCACUAGGAGGUGUCCACAUGGUCUG